This is a non-coding RNA of Macaca mulatta (Rhesus monkey), 2936 nucleotides long. The record is from RefSeq and is a predicted model, not a curated record. Lineage: Eukaryota; Metazoa; Chordata; Mammalia; Primates; Cercopithecidae.
CCUCGGGGGUGUCCACGCUCGGCCUCCCACGCGGGCGCGCCUCCUCGGAAGGGGCCUGGCCGAGCGCGCACCUGCACACGUGCGCCGGAAGGCGGGAGGUCAUUCCGCGCGGCCCAGCUGGUUUGUUUUCAACAAUACGAUCAAAGCCACACGCCCACCGUUAUUUACGCCGUCAGCUAGCGCCGGCACUUGGAGGGAGGAAGGAAGCACCUAAGGCGCUGGGGGCGGAAACACUGAGGAGGAGGGCUGCGCCUCAGGCGAGAGCUGGCCGGCACCGACCGGGCCUGGAGCAGGGGCCGCAGCUCCCCGCCUGGGACCGCGCACAAAGGCCCGAAGUCCGGGCCGCACUCACCGAAGUCCAGGAACUGCUUCAUGGAGAGCGGGGACGGUGAGAAGCGCGCGUAGAAGUCCACCUGGCCCGGAACGCCGCGCUCGGGCGCCGGGCCGGAGCCCGAGUCCGAGCUGAAGGAGCGGCUGGGGCCGGCGGCGCGCAGCCCCGGGCCCGGGACGGCCAAGGCAGCUCCGCGAAGCAGCCGCGCCAGCCUCAUGCCGAGCCCCGCUAGAGAAGCCAGAGCCCGGGCGCCACGUUUCCCCGCGCCUCUGCCGAGUGGAUUGAAGGCAGAUACUUGAAGUUGUAAUCCAAGGUCAGGAAAACGGAAUCAAGAGGUCACAAGCCUUCUCUGAUGAUGGCUCAGAAAGCUGGAAGACACUCAACAUUGAAUCGUGGGGCUCCAUGCCAUGCUUGCUAGGAGAAACAGCCACCAUGAGUCCAUCUUUCAGAUCUCAAGUGAACAGCAUGGUAUCGGGGAACACUGUCAUCGUACCUAGAGCGUUUGAAGAAUCCACACUGGAGAAGAGGGAAAGAGAAAGAGAAACCAAUUAAUCUCACAAAGAAGCAAGUGCACUAAAUGGGAAUGUCUAAGCUUUCUGUUCAGCUAUGUCUACCUCUGGACUAUGGGGAAAAAGACAUGGUUUUCUUUUAAGAAAGAACUAAGAGGUUGAAAUGAAAGAACAGCCAGUGGGGAUCAACGGAAGAGAACAGCUGUAAAACUGGAAGAAAAGUCCAUUUUCAUCUUCUCUUUACAUUUUAUAACAAAAUGUAGGCUACCUCUUUACUAACAAUUUAAGACUAUGAAAACAGUGCUGCCAUAUUUUAAAAUAAUCACUAUAUGUAAAAGAUCUAAUUAUCAGAUUAGAAUAUCAUUUUAAGAAUAAUUUUUAAAAGGCAUAAACCAAAGAUUAUUUCAUGCCCCUCUCCCACUAAUAAAAUGCAAAUCAUGUCACAAGUAUUUUACUAAUUAUUAUUUGAAUAUGCCAGAGUUCCAGCAGGUCAAUUUAAUAAUUUUUUCUCCUCUGAGGCUCUAGUACACGUAUCACUGCUCUCAUUAGCUAGGAUGUAAUUUAUGUUGCCUGGAUUUGCUAUUGUGCUUCUAAUUAAGCUAUUUCAUUAAUAAAUCACAUAGUGACUGUUUCCUACAAUAAAAAUCAUAUGCUGCAUAGGACUUGAGAAGUGUAUCACUACACUGAAUUUCAGAGCACUCCCUAAUUUUUCUUCUUUAAAUUGUUAAUGUGUAUAUGUGUGUAUAUAUAUCAUUUAAUAUUCAAUCUGAUCCAAAGUAUAUUUUUACUGAAUAUAUCUGAAAAAAAUUGAGAUUAAAUUUUUAAUGAAAUAUAUUACUUUUCAUGAAAUGAAAACAUUUAAUGAAAUAUAUUUACUUUCAAAAAAGGUGUGUUUGACUAAAAUGCAGUUUUGAAGAAUGAGGAAUAGUUAUUAAUAGAAUGGUUGAUUAAUGUGUUUAUUAUGUGACAUCAACAAUAACAGGACAUUUACGCUGAAUGAUGUUAUAAAAAUGCCAUGGAGCAAGAUAAAAUUAUAUGCAUAGUUAUCACUAAAUCAGUAGGCAAAAUGGACCAAGAUGUUUUGUUCCAGGUCAUUUCUACAUGGAUUUAUUUAUUAUUCUGUGCAAAAAAAAAAAAAAAAAAGCCAAAGUACCUAUCUGUUACAAAAUAUGACUGCUGCCUACCCCAUUUAAACAAAGAGGGAAAUUAAAGGUGAUCUGUUAAGCUGAAAUGGCAAUGUUGUGAUUCACUGUGAUAGUGCCAUGGAAAGGAUUACAGGAGUAAUUCUGUCCUAUAAAAUUUUGUGUAAAAUUUUAUACACAAGAAUUUUACAGUCUUGUGUAUAAGAAUUAAACAACAGAACAUCUCAGAUUUAUGCCCACAUAAAUGGUGAAAGGAAUCACCAGCAAUUCCUAUUUCCAUAGAUUUACAAAUAAGAGAAACUUGAAUUUAAAAUCAAUGAGACCCAAGGUUGAAUAAAAUGUCUGGAUACAUGAAAUAUGGUCAAACUCCAUCACAAUAUAUUACAAUAAAAACUUUUCAGGGCAUUUUUUUGUACUAGAAUUUGGUAGAUAGAAGGUAACUUUGGUAGAGGAUCAUCUUCUGAAGUUGGCCAUAAAGCCCGUCAUGCUGAUAACCAUAGUUUGUUGUAAUGGUCUUUGACCUGUAGGAGAUACGCAGGAAAUGGAAGCUGCAUGCUUAGCUAGCAGAAAACGAUUCCUGAGCAACAGUAAAAAGCAUUCCAAGCCUUCCCCAUCACUUUAUAGCAAAGAAAACGAAAGGAUGACAGUGAGGAAGCCUCAACCAAGAGAAACACAUUUCCAACAUGCAACAGGUUAAUUAGGCAGUCGACACAGCUUCUAUCUGUGGGAAAUUCCAAAAUGAACAAGAAAUCUGGAGCAAUUUCUUAUGCAUCUUUGAAUUCCCUAGUAGGAUGCUACAUACCGAAUUAAUAACACGUGGCAAACUGGGCUACUAUGGAGGGCUAAAAGCCUCGUGUGUGUGUGUACAAAGAUUGCAAUUUUCUUCAUUGCUGUGGGUAAUGUUUAACAACAACAUAAAAUAACUCACCUGCAACGAAAAAUUCUUUGUGCAUU